ACAGUUGAACACCACAAAUCCGAAUACUACACGCGGCACGGUGGACGUGAUCGUAACGGUUUUCUCAUUUCCGAAACAGAAAUUCGUUAAUUACCAGUACCGAAUUCGAAGAAUAUUCGCACGAUUAAUAGUGGCCCGGAGGCCACUUUCACCAGAACAGGCAACAGGCGGGCGAACAAAGGCUCAGCCAGGAGGGGUGGGAUUUGCUAACAGCUGCCCGAUCGCCUCCGAAGAAGACCUAAAACUCAAGAGCAGCUGCUUCGCGAAUGAAUCUACUACCGGAUCGGAAUCGCGACACGCUGAGAAAAUCCGACGAGAAACUCAGCGGGCUGAUGCAUGGGUUAGGUUGCACGUCGAACUCUUUGUCGAGUUCGACGAGUAAAGUUACUGGGGUCCCUGAGCCUGCUCCUAGUGUUAGAGCUGAAGGCGUCUAAUGCAAGAGUUUUUGUAUCUGAUGGAUCCCUAAGGACGUGUCUAGGGCGACGACGGUGACUUGCUCCUGCGUGAUCAAGAUUCGGGGAGACGCUGCGUUGUCUAUGGCUCCGGCAACUACUAAAGGCCAUGGCCAUACUCGUUUACAAUUCUAUUUUUUUUUUUAAAUUGACUUUUUAUAAAUAAAUAAAACAAAGAAAAGAAUUAAGUAAAUAUAAUUAUGUAAGUAGGUGAACGAUAUUAUUUUAAUGGGCAUUAUUUAUGAAACUACCGUAUUUUUGUGUAAUAUUUAAUCUCUUUUCAGGAUUUUUAAGAAGAGAACCACUUUUGUAAUUGUUAUUUUAAGAGUUAAGAUAUUUCUUGACUUAUGAUAUUUCAAUAAAUUAUAUAUUAUCGAUUUUUGUUUAA
Long non-coding RNA from Bombyx mori (domestic silkworm), 840 nucleotides. RefSeq lists it as uncharacterized. The transcript is spliced from 2 exons. The record is from RefSeq and is a predicted model, not a curated record. NCBI's taxonomy places the organism in Eukaryota, Metazoa, Arthropoda, Insecta, Lepidoptera, Bombycidae.